GAGCGGCGGACGGGUGAGUAAUGCAUAGGAAUCUGCCCGAUAGUGGGGGAUAACCUGGGGAAACCCAGGCUAAUACCGCAUACGUCCUACGGGAGAAAGGGGGCUCCGGCUCCCGCUAUGGGAUGAGCCUAUGUCGGAUUAGCUAGUUGGUGAGGUAACGGCUCACCAAGGCCACGAUCCGUAGCUGGUCUGAGAGGAUGAUCAGCCACAUCGGGACUGAGACACGGCCCGAACUCCUACGGGAGGCAGCAGUGGGGAAUAUUGGACAAUGGGGGAAACCCUGAUCCAGCCAUGCCGCGUGUGUGAAGAAGGCCCUCGGGUUGUAAAGCACUUUCAGCGAGGAAGAACGCCUAGCGGUUAAUACCCGCUAGGAAAGACAUCACUCGCAGAAGAAGCACCGGCUAACUCCGUGCCAGCAGCCGCGGUAAUACGGAGGGUGCAAGCGUUAAUCGGAAUUACUGGGCGUAAAGCGCGCGUAGGUGGCUUGAUAAGCCGGUUGUGAAAGCCCCGGGCUCAACCUGGGAACGGCAUCCGGAACUGUCAAGCUAGAGUGCAGGAGAGGAAGGUAGAAUUCCCGGUGUAGCGGUGAAAUGCGUAGAGAUCGGGAGGAAUACCAGUGGCGAAGGCGGCCUUCUGGACUGACACUGACACUGAGGUGCGAAAGCGUGGGUAGCAAACAGGAUUAGAUACCCUGGUAGUCCACGCCGUA
Molecule: ribosomal RNA, 709 nt
Filed under: uncultured bacterium
Lineage: Bacteria
Description: bacterial SSU rRNA
Rfam family: Bacterial small subunit ribosomal RNA
Source: RNAcentral